Chelonia mydas (Green sea turtle) is the source of this 258-nucleotide long non-coding RNA. RefSeq lists it as uncharacterized. The transcript has 3 exons. The record is from RefSeq and is a predicted model, not a curated record. NCBI's taxonomy places the organism in Eukaryota, Metazoa, Chordata, Testudines, Cheloniidae.
CUUUAGCAUCCGUGGAUGCAGUGCCUCCGGCCCCAUGGACUUGUGCUCAUCCAGCUUUUCUAAAUAGUCCUUAACCCAUUCUUUCACCACUGAGGGCUGCUUACCUCCACCCCAUACUGUGCUACCCAGUGCAUCAGUCUGGGAGCUGACCUUGUCUGUGAAGACUGAGGCAAAAAAAGCAUUGAAUACUUCAGCUUUUUCCAUAUUAGCAAAAAAAGCAUUUAGUACUUCAGCUUUUUCCCCAUCCUCUGUCACUAG